UACGAAGGGGGCAAGCGUUGUUCGGAAUUACUGGGCGUAAAGGGCGCGCAGGCGGCUUUGCAAGACAGAUGUGAAAUCCCCGGGCUUAACCUGGGAACUGCAUUUGUGACUGCAUGGCUGGAGUGCGGCAGAGGGGGAUGGAAUUCCGCGUGUAGCAGUGAAAUGCGUAGAUAUGCGGAGGAACACCGAUGGCGAAGGCAGUCCCCUGGGCCUGCACUGACGCUCAUGCACGAAAGCGUGGGGAGCAAACAGG
Molecule: ribosomal RNA, 253 nt
Filed under: uncultured bacterium
Lineage: Bacteria
Description: partial 16S ribosomal RNA
Rfam family: Bacterial small subunit ribosomal RNA
Source: RNAcentral